RNAcentral lists this ribosomal RNA (977 nucleotides) under Staphylococcus sp. HMSC14D01. Its description in RNAcentral is "bacterial LSU rRNA". It matches the Rfam family "Bacterial large subunit ribosomal RNA", at positions 488 to 1471 of the family's 2925-position model. Lineage: Bacteria; Bacillati; Bacillota; Bacilli; Caryophanales; Staphylococcaceae. The record is from RNAcentral.
UAGUGAACCAGUACCGUGAGGGAAAGGUGAAAAGUACCCCGGAAGGGGAGUGAAAGAGAACUUGAAACCGUGUGCUUACAAGUAGUCAGAGCCCGUUAAUGGGUGAUGGCGUGCCUUUUGUAGAAUGAACCGGCGAGUUACGAUCUGAUGCAAGGUUAAGCAGGAGAUGUGGAGCCGUAGCGAAAGCGAGUCUGAAUAGGGCGUUGAGUAUUUGGUCGUAGACCCGAAACCAGGUGAUCUACCCAUGGUCAGGUUGAAGUUCAGGUAACACUGAAUGGAGGACCGAACCGACUUACGUUGAAAAGUGAGCGGAUGAACUGUGGGUAGCGGAGAAAUUCCAAUCGAACUUGGAGGUAGCUGGUUCUCUCCGAAAUAGCUUUAGGGCUAGCCUCAAGUGAUGAUUAUUGGAGGUAGAGCACUGUUUGGACGAGGGGCCCCUCUCGGGUUACCGAAUUCAGACAAACUCCGAAUGCCAAUUAAUUUAACUUGGGAGUCAGAACAUGGGUGAUAAGGUCCGUGUUCGAAAGGGAAACAGCCCAGACCACCAGCUAAGGUCCCAAAAUAUAUGUUAAGAGGAAAAGGAUGUGGCGUUGCCCAGACAACUAGGAUGUUGGCUUAGAAGCAGCCAUCAUUUAAAGAGUGCGUAAUAGCUCACUAGUCGAGUGACACUGCGCCGAAAAUGUACCGGGGCUAAACAUAUUACCGAAGCUGUGGAUUGUCCGUAGGACAAUGGUAGGAGAGCGUUCUAAGGGCGUUGAAGCAUGAUCGCAAGGACAUGUGGAGCGCUUAGAAGUGAGAAUGCCGGUGUGAGUAGCGAAAGACGGGUGAGAAUCCCGUCCACCGAUUGACUAAGGUUUCCAGAGGAAGGCUCGUCCGCUCUGGGUUAGUCGGGUCCUAAGCUGAGGCCGACAGGCGUAGGCGAUGGAUAACAGGUUGAUAUUCCUGUACCACCUAGCAUCGUUUUAAUCGAUGGGGGG